UUCGCCCUUAGAGUUUGAUCCUGGCUCAGGACGAACGCUGGCGGCGCGCCUAACACAUGCAAGUCGAACGAGCGAGAGGAGGUUUACUUUCUCAAGCGAGUGGCGAACGGGUGAGUAACGCGUGAGGAACCUGCCUCAAAGAGGGGGACAACAGUUGGAAACGACUGCUAAUACCGCAUAAGCCCACGACCCGGCAUCGGGUAGAGGGAAAAGGAGCAAUCCGCUUUGAGAUGGCCUCGCGUCCGAUUAGCUAGUUGGUGAGGUAAUGGCCCACCAAGGCGACGAUCGGUAGCCGGACUGAGAGGUUGAACGGCCACAUUGGGACUGAGACACGGCCCAGACUCCUACGGGAGGCAGCAGUGGGGAAUAUUGCACAAUGGGGGAAACCCUGAUGCAGCGACGCCGCGUGGAGGAAGAAGGUCUUCGGAUUGUAAACUCCUGUUGUUGAGGAAGAUAAUGACGGUACUCAACAAGGAAGUGACGGCUAACUACGUGCCAGCAGCCGCGGUAAAACGUAGGUCACAAGCGUUGUCCGGAAUUACUGGGUGUAAAGGGAGCGCAGGCGGGAAGACAAGUUGGAAGUGAAAUCUAUGGGCUCAACCCAUAAACUGCUUUCAAAACUGUUUUUCUUGAGUAGUGCAGAGGUAGGCGGAAUUCCCCGGUGUAGCGGUGGAAUGCGUAGAUAUCGGGAGGAACACCAGUGGCGAAGGCGGCCUACUGGGCACCAACUGACGCUGAGGCUCGAAAGUGUGGGUAGCAAACAGGAUUAGAUACCCUGGUAGUCCACACCGUAAACGAUGAUUACUAGGUGUUGGAGGAUUGACCCCUUCAGUGCCGCAGUUAACACAAUAAGUAAUCCACCUGGGGAGUACGACCGCAAGGUUGAAACUCAAAGGAAUUGACGGGGGCCCGCACAAGCAGUGGAGUAUGUGGUUUAAUUCGACGCAACGCGAAGAACCUUACCAAGUCUUGACAUCCUGCGACGAUGCUGGAAACAGUAUUUUCCUUCGGGACGCAGAGACAGGUGGUGCAUGGUUGUCGUCAGCUCGUGUCGUGAGAUGUUGGGUUAAGUCCCGCAACGAGCGCAACCCUUACUGUCAGUUACUACGCAAGAGGACUCUGGCAGGACUGCCGUUGACAAAACGGAGGAAGGUGGGGAUGACGUCAAAUCAUCAUGCCCUUUAUGACUUGGGCUACACACGUACUACAAUGGCGUUAAACAAAGAGAAGCAAGACCGCGAGGUGGAGCAAAACUCAGAAACAACGUCCCAGUUCGGACUGCAGGCUGCAACUCGCCUGCACGAAGUCGGAAUUGCUAGUAAUCGUGGAUCAGCAUGCCACGGUGAAUACGUUCCCGGGCCGUGUACACACCGCCCGUCA
This 1380-nucleotide ribosomal RNA is filed under the name uncultured bacterium. RNAcentral's name for it is "16S ribosomal RNA". It matches the Rfam family "Bacterial small subunit ribosomal RNA". The record is from RNAcentral.